AUGUGAAAAACAUUAUCGCCUUAAGUUCAAGGUUUCCAAAACAAGGUUAAUCCGUUUUGGUAUUUGUUAAUCGGUCUCUAAGAAUUAAUUACGAAAGUCUAAUUUAAUGAGAUAAAAAUUAAUUUUUUUUUUAAAAGUGACAGAAUAUGAAUAUUAUUUUUAUUUUAUGGUUUAAAUAAAAGUUUUAAAUUAUUCUCUAGAAAUAGCUUUUAAAAACUUUAAAAACCGUACCCUAAACCGACGCAGGUGAACAAGUUUAGUAAACUAAGGCGCUUGAGAGAACUUUGUUGAAGGAACUCGGCAAAAUGGCCCUGUAACUUCGGGAGAAGGGGUAAUUUUUUUAGGGCAACCUAGAAAAAUUGGCACAGAAUUGGAGGUAGCGACUAUUUAGUAAAAAUACAAGUCUCUGCUAAUUUGUAAAAAGAUGUAUAGGGACUGACACCUGCCCGGUGCUGUAAGAUAAAAAAAUUAUUGUCUUGGCUUUAAUUUUAAAUCCCAGUAAACGGCGGCCGUAACUCUGA
RNAcentral lists this ribosomal RNA (521 nucleotides) under Candidatus Thalassarchaeaceae archaeon. RNAcentral's name for it is "partial 23S ribosomal RNA". It matches the Rfam family "Bacterial large subunit ribosomal RNA", at positions 1319 to 1945 of the family's 2925-position model. The record is from RNAcentral. Lineage: Archaea; Methanobacteriati; Thermoplasmatota; Candidatus Poseidoniia; Candidatus Poseidoniales; Candidatus Thalassarchaeaceae.